This 491-nucleotide ribosomal RNA is filed under the name uncultured bacterium. RNAcentral's name for it is "bacterial SSU rRNA". It matches the Rfam family "Bacterial small subunit ribosomal RNA", at positions 28 to 513 of the family's 1533-position model. The record is from RNAcentral.
GACGAACGCUGGCGGCGUGGAUUAGGCAUGCAAGUCGAACGGUAGGAUACCUUCGGGUAUCUGAGAGUGGCGAACGGGUGAGUAACACGUAGGUGAUCUACCCUCAAGAUUGGGACAACCCAGGGAAACUUGGGCUAAUACCGGAUGAAAGCAGCAGUGAUGUUGUUUGAAAGGUGGCGUAAGCUGCCGUUUGGGGAUGAGCCUGCGCUCUAUUAGUUAGUUGGCGGGGUAAAGGCCCACCAAGGCGAUGAUAGAUAGGCGGCCUUAACGGGUGGUCGCCCACACUGGGAUUGAGAUACGGCCCAGACUCCUACGGGAGGCAGCAGUCGAGAAUAGUCUACAAUGGCCGAAAGGCUGAUAGUGCGACGCCGCGUGAACGAAGAAGCCCUUGGGUGUAAGUUCUUUUAUAUGUGAGCAGUGCUUUCUAUGUGAACAGCAUGGGGAGAGAGAUAUUAGCAUAUGAAUAAGCAACGGCUAACUCCGUGCCAGCA